This 601-nucleotide ribosomal RNA is filed under the name uncultured bacterium. Its description in RNAcentral is "bacterial SSU rRNA". It matches the Rfam family "Bacterial small subunit ribosomal RNA", at positions 895 to 1501 of the family's 1533-position model. The record is from RNAcentral.
UGAAACUCAAAGGAAUUGACGGGGUCCGCACAAGCGGUGGAGCAUGUGGUUUAAUUCGAUGAUACGCGAGGAACCUUACCUGGGCUAGAAUGCCCUUGAUUUGUACUGAAAGGUAAAGGCCGCAAGGACAAGUAGCAAGGUGCUGCAUGGUUGUCGUCAGCUCGUGCCGUGAGGUGUUGGGUUAAGUCCCGCAACGAGCGCAACCCUUGUCAUUAAUUGCCAUCAUUUGGUUGGGCACUUUAAUGAGACUGCCGGUGAUAAACCGGAGGAAGGUGGGGAUGACGUCAAGUCCUCAUGGCCCUUAUGGGUAGGGCUUCACACGUAAUACAAUGGCGCGUACAGAGAGUUGCCAACUCGCGAGAGGGAGCUAAUCUCAGAAAGCGCGUCGUAGUCCGGAUCGGAGUCUGCAACUCGACUCCGUGAAGUCGGAAUCGCUAGUAAUCGCGGAUCAGCAUGUCGCGGUGAAUACGUUCCCGGGUCUUGUACACACCGCCCGUCACACCAUGGGAGUGGGUUUCACCAGAAGCAGGUAGUCUAACCGCGAGGAGGGCGCUUGCCACGGUGAGAUUCAUGACUGGGGUGAAGUCGUAACAAGGUAACC